UACAGAGGUCUCAAGCGUUGUUCGGAUUCAUUGGGCGUAAAGGGUGCGUAGGCGGCGCGGUAAGUCGGGUGUGAAAUCUCGGAGCUUAACUCCGAAACUGCAUUCGAUACUGCCGUGCUUGAGGACUGGAGAGGAGACUGGAAUUUACGGUGUAGCGGUGAAAUGCGUAGAUAUCGUAAGGAAGACCAGUGGCGAAGGUGGGUCUCUGGACAGUUCCUGACGCUGAGGCACGAAGGUCAGGGGAGCAAACGGG
RNAcentral lists this ribosomal RNA (253 nucleotides) under uncultured bacterium. Its description in RNAcentral is "partial 16S ribosomal RNA". It matches the Rfam family "Bacterial small subunit ribosomal RNA", at positions 524 to 776 of the family's 1533-position model. The record is from RNAcentral.